UACGGAGGGUGCAAAGCGUUUAAUCGGAAUUACUGGGCGAAAGCGUGCGUAGGUGGUUCGUUAAGUCCGUUGUGAAAGCCCCGAGCUCACUUGGGAAUUGCAGUGGAUACGGCGAGCUGGAGUGCGGUAGAGGAAGGUGGGAAUUCCCCGGUGUAGCGGUGAAAUGCGUAGACGAUCGGGAGGAACACCCAGGGGGAAACCAAGCCGACUGGG
Molecule: ribosomal RNA, 213 nt
Filed under: uncultured bacterium
Lineage: Bacteria
Description: partial 16S ribosomal RNA
Rfam family: Bacterial small subunit ribosomal RNA
Source: RNAcentral